UACGGAGGGUGCAAGCGUUAUCCGGAUUCACUGGGUUUAAAGGGUGCGUAGGCGGGCAGGUAAGUCCGUGGUGAAAUCUCUGAGCUUAACUCAGAAACUGCCAUGGAUACUAUUUGUCUUGAAUAUUGUGGAGGUAAGCGGAAUAUGUCAUGUAGCGGUGAAAUGCUUAGAUAUGACAUAGAACACCAAUUGCGAAGGCAACUUACUACACAGUUAUUGACGCUGAGGCACGAAAGCGUGGGGAUCAAACAGG
Molecule: ribosomal RNA, 253 nt
Filed under: uncultured bacterium
Lineage: Bacteria
Description: partial 16S ribosomal RNA
Rfam family: Bacterial small subunit ribosomal RNA
Source: RNAcentral